Long non-coding RNA from Eupeodes corollae, 366 nucleotides. RefSeq lists it as uncharacterized. The transcript has 3 exons. NCBI's taxonomy places the organism in Eukaryota, Metazoa, Arthropoda, Insecta, Diptera, Syrphidae. The record is from RefSeq and is a predicted model, not a curated record.
UAGUUGGAUAAAGUUACUCGCUAAAUUUAAGAUUGGGCCUCUAGAAAAUAGUUAUCCUGAACAAAAAGGUUAUUAAAUUAUCGGGUUCUAUUACGGUUUUAUAGAAAAAAAAGGCAAACGAAAAAGCCCUGACCGUCGAAGAGGUUCUGAAGCUCUGGAUUAUUUGGUGGGUGGAAGACAGAUGAAAGUGUUUCCGGUGUCGUUGUCUGUGGUUUCAAGUUUUGUUUCAGGCAUAUCAUUGCUGGGCCCACCAACCGAGAUUUAUGUAUAUGAAACGCAAUAUGCAUUUAUCCUUGUGACGAUUGGCUUCUCUGCAGUCAUUUCUUGGUACAUUUUCCUGCCCGUGUUUUAUAAUUUACAAUUAAC